CUGCCGUAAAGCUCAUCCGCUGAUCACGGAUGAUUCCAGAGCAGAGCGGCAGACAACUGAACACAAAGCCAACGACUGGAAUAGUUGGCCAGCACUGAAAUGAGGAUUUCGUUUCGGUUGGCCAACUGCGCAUUCUUCCGGCUGCUCU
This 148-nucleotide non-coding RNA is filed under the name unclassified sequences. The record is from Rfam.